AGAAACACACCUGAUGCUGACAGUGUGUGCAGCUGGGAGUCAUGAUGCUGAUCAGGACUGUGUUUGUGCUGAGAGGAUGAACUGUGUCCUGAAGGUCCAGAUGUUGAACCGUCAUCAGCAGCUGCUGUGUCCAGACUCUGACUGGGCCAUGUUCCUGGGAGGUGGAGAGCUUCAUGCAGCAGUGACUGACAGGAAUCACAGGUGGAGAUGAGUGUCAGUGCUGCAGUGUGAACUGCUCUGAGAACAGCUGCAGCGUCAGUCACCAGGUGGAGUCCAGCAUGAUGGAAUGAUGGAGAACUGCAGUUGUUGUUGACGUUUUACCUUUCCGAUGUGCAGAGUUUCCUGUCUGUCCAGGGUUAUAUUUCUGUUUGCUUUCUAUUCACAGUUCUAAUUAUUCAGCCCCUCUACCUGCACAACAUUCAGGUGAUUCCAGCUAAAGCCUUGGCAAACAAAAGCACUUGUUAGAUGUUAAUCUCACUAAUUACCCUCAGUAUACACUUUUCUCCACAUCGGUCCAGGAGCAUUAUUGUUUGUUACAGAGUUGAUAUUUACUCAGAACAUUAUUUGACAUUUUAGAGCUCCAGUAAGUGUUUGUAGUUGUGGGACUGAACAACAUGCGACAGAAAUCAUGGUGGUGUUAUUGUGACAGGUAUUAUGAUUGAGGUAUGAGUCACUGUUUUAUUGGGAAUAAUCAUUUUUUCAUUUUCUUUCGCUGAAAAAAAUACUGAAAUGAUGAUCAGAUUUUUCCUGCGUCCUCUACCAAACACAUGUUCCUUUAAAUAUAUGAUUUGUAGCGCUGCGGCACUUCAUGUGUAAUAGUAACUAACUGCUGCUCCUGUCAUCUGGAUGUUGCACGUGUUCAGCCCUGUCAGGUUGUUUUCUGUUUUUAAAUAUCAGCUUGUUCCUCGUGUGCUGAAGCUUCCAGUUUACUGAUAUUGUUUGGUGUCUGAGCUGCUGCUGCUUUCUGUAAAUCCCCCCAAAGAUUUGUAAAUCCAGGACUGAGACGCCUCCUCCAGGACUUUCCUCGAACGACUCCAGCAAUGUUUUUCCUCUAACCCAGCUGGUGUUUCAAAGAAUCCAUGACGCUGCUCAAACAAUCAGCAGUGUAGCAGCGUCUGCGGCAGCAAAACCUUCUCAACAGGAGCGUCAGGAUGCUGUCCUUCUGACUGCUGACGAAACGCUGAUCCACAAGUCCAAACAUGUCAAGGUUAGACUCGCAGAACUCGACAGGCACAUCCACGUUCAAAUCAACUUUUAGGAGCUCUCUGGUCAAGAUCGGAGGUUCUUCCUGCAGCUGUUUGUUAGAGUCGUAUCUAGAACGUCAGGGUUUCUUUGCCCUGUGCUCAGACUCAGAGGCUCAUUCAUUCUGGCUGCGUGCCGCUCUGCUGCUCUAUACCUCAGUAGUUAUGCCUCCUGUGAGCCAUCAGGUGGCGCUAUUCUCCAGAGGCUUUGAGGGCACACCACACUGUAGAGUAUAUGUCAACAAGUUACAUUUGCUGAGUUUGUGGGUCGCUGAGCAAAAACUUUCAUGAUGCCUUGCAGGCGGCACAACACAACAUUUGUCUGACACAACUCAACAUAAUUCAAUAAAGUGUGUUGUGCAACAG
This is a long non-coding RNA of Stegastes partitus (bicolor damselfish), 1607 nucleotides long. RefSeq lists it as uncharacterized. Lineage: Eukaryota; Metazoa; Chordata; Actinopteri; Pomacentridae. The record is from RefSeq and is a predicted model, not a curated record. The transcript is spliced from 2 exons.